This 484-nucleotide ribosomal RNA is filed under the name uncultured bacterium. RNAcentral's name for it is "partial 16S ribosomal RNA". It matches the Rfam family "Bacterial small subunit ribosomal RNA", at positions 30 to 507 of the family's 1533-position model. The record is from RNAcentral.
AUUGAACGCUGGCGGAAUGCUUUACACAUGCAAGUCGAGCGGCAGCACGGGGGCAACCCUGGUGGCGAGCGGCGAACGGGUGAGUAAUACAUCGGAACAUGCCCAGUCGUGGGGGACAACACUUCGAAAGAAGUGCUAAUACCGCAUACGUCCUGAGGGGGAAAGCGGGGGAUCGCAAGACCUCGCGCGAUUGGAGUGGCCGAUGUCAGAUUAGCUAGUUGGUGGGGUAAAGGCCUACCAAGGCAACGAUCUGUAGCUGGUCUGAGAGGAUGAUCAGCCACACUGGGACUGAGACACGGCCCAGACUCCUACGGGAGGCAGCAGUGGGGAAUUUUGGACAAUGGGGGCAACCCUGAUCCAGCCAUUCCGCGUGAGUGAAGAAGGCCUUCGGGUUGUAAAGCUCUUUCGGCAGGAACGAAACGGUGAGCUCUAACAUAGCUUGCUAAUGACGGUACCUGAAGAAGAAGCACCGGCUAACUACGUG